Long non-coding RNA from Hyaena hyaena (striped hyena), 381 nucleotides. RefSeq lists it as uncharacterized. The transcript has 2 exons. The record is from RefSeq and is a predicted model, not a curated record. NCBI's taxonomy places the organism in Eukaryota, Metazoa, Chordata, Mammalia, Carnivora, Hyaenidae.
GCAGCAGGGAGGGAGAGAGGUCCUGGAGAAAGAAUGAAAGACCAUUCCCAAACCAAGAUUUGGAACAACGGAUACUCCUGGAUGAUGUUAUAUGUUUUGUGUGUCGUUACUUUUCAAGGCUUUCGGCUGCAAGUCAUUAUUUCAGCUGAUUGGAAAAUGGUGUUGAAAGACCUGCUUCUCUGCCCCACAGCCCUGUGAGGAGAUCAGGACAGAGCCGGUCAGCACAGAAUUGCUCUGGGAUCUGGAUCCAGCCGUGGGUGGACUCACACUCGAGCCCACGUAAGAAUCCUGAGUAUUACCUGGCACUUACACCAUUCGGGUGAUCAGAUUGGCCAGUGGUUGUCAAAUGUUAGUGAGCUUAAUACAGACUGCUGAGCCUCA